Non-coding RNA from Meleagris gallopavo (turkey), 2341 nucleotides. The record is from RefSeq and is a predicted model, not a curated record. Lineage: Eukaryota; Metazoa; Chordata; Aves; Galliformes; Phasianidae.
GAACCUUCCCCAGGAAUGCACGCUCAGUAUAUAGGUGUAUAUACGUAUAUUUUAUCAUUCACAUUGCAAGAAUACCCUGCAUUGAUCAAACCAGAGAACAAGCGAUGGCAUGCCCAAGGAAGCGCCUGAAGAGACAUCGGAAGGCCUGGCAUCACCCCGCCCCCGGUGCUCUUUGUUUAACGAAGGCUCUGAAGAAAAUCACCACAUCAGUACGACCAGAAGAGCUCUGAGACAGCUUGGAAACAACAGGACGGCUGCUGGCUGACACCAAUUAACAAAUAGAUUCCUUUCUCUUCUUGGGAAAUGCUACUCUGAGAUCGCAUGGCUCAUCAUCCUCUGCACACCUACUGGCAUGAAGGACAGUAUUUUACGUAAGAAAAAAAUGUAUCUUAACUGCUCAGAAGAUCUGCUCAUUGAAUAUGUAUGCAUAGACAGAAAACAAUAGCACUUAUCUUGAAAGACAUUGAUAAGCUCAGAUGAAGACGUUUACUAGAAACAGAAUAAGGAAAAUCUACUGUGGGUUACUCUGGACUAGUGAAAAAGAUAAAGUGCAACAUAGGAGCAGGAGCCUUGCCCAUUUUUAUAAAGAUCUUCAUAAACUGUGUAUAUUUGAAGAACUGAUACUGACAUGCAGAACAUUCAGGCUUUUGCUCUGUACAUACACUUUCCAAGGAGAAAAAAAAAAAAGUCUGCAUUGGCAAUUUACAAAGUAAAAAGAGUGUGGAAAUUCAAAUAUCAGAUACUGAUGGGAAUAUAGGAAGGUCUGCUGUGACAAACUUCUGUGCUUCCUGCUGACAGAUAGGAGCCAAUUAACACUGUGGAACCACCAGCUUUUGCAGUAUAUUUGAAAAGGUUAGGGUGAAAUGUAAACUGUAAAGCCAAAGAGAUUGCUGCACAAGAUAAAUGAUAUAUUCUUUUAACUGCUUCUUUCUCUGGGUAAGUUUGAGUCAUGAGCUUCAGCUGCAAACCUCUCAAUAUCCUAUGGAUUCCUGUCGUCAGUUAUUCAGACAAACUUCCCUUUGCUUUGUAUAGAAGUGAGUCUGUUUCUAUAGUCUUUCUCUGAAUGGAUAUUGUUUCAGAGACCAACAUUCAGAAUCCUUAUAGAAACUGCCGCCUCUGAAAAUAUGAUUGCCCUCACCUCUGUGCAUGGCAUCUCCAAUCAAGUGUGGUGCUAUGUCUUUACUUUGAAUGAUUUGGAUGGGCUGUUAUCUCUGAUAAAGAGUGAAGACUGGAAGAAAAUUUAUUCCCAAUUGGAAAUAUUUAUUCACUGAUGUGUUCUGUUACAUGAUCUAAUUCCCCAAAGCUUUUUGAAUAGCUUUUAAUUUGCAUAAAUUACAUACUCAAAUUAAUUAUUUGGGCUUGUAGACAUUUGUGACAGAAGCAAUGUAUUUUAAGUGUUCGCAGCUUACUGGUUGCUGAAUGCUGUGUUUCUUUGAAGAUGGACUGACCUGGAAAAGGGGCAGAUCCUCUUUUUGUCCUGUCAGGUUACUUUGGAUCAGGUGGAAGAUGUUGGAUGAAGGAGGAGAGUUUGUCCUUUCAUUUUUCCCCCCAGAUGUUCAGGACUGGGUCAGCUCUCUUGGAGGAAAUAAGCAGAGUGAAAGACGCACGGUUAGUGGAAAAAGAAAGACUUUUCUCGUAAUGGAAAGAACAAGGUUAAAUUUCAGAACUCUGAAAGCCCCAGGAAGAUCGCUGGGAUGGAGAUGUGCCUGGGAAUAAGAGCCUCCCUACAGAGCUGCAUCAAGCAAGCGGGAGACGUUCAUAAACCUUCUUUUAACUCACUUUUCAUUAGCACCUCUGGGUUUUCUCUAUUUAAAAAUGUGAUGAUUCUAAUUUUUGUUCAGCUACAAUCUGACUUCUGAAAUUCCAGUCUCUUCUAUGCCUUGGGGGGAAUUAACCUUCAAAAAAGCUGCAGAUAGACAGAUAUAACUUGGAGGUUUGGUAGACUGGGGUCCAGACACAUUCCUGUAUCAGCUGAAUAAUGUGGUUAUAUGAAAAGUGUAAGAAAAGAACAAAAAAAAAAAAUACCUACUUUAAUUUCUCUUUCAGUUGAUAAUUCUUAACAUAUUCAACACCAGUUAGUCACUGCCCAAGGAGGAGUCUCAUUUUGGACAGACACAGACCACAGAAUGAGCUGCAUAAUUCAGCAAGGUUAAUAUUACACCUGGCGAAGAUCCAUACAAGAUUACUCUUCAGCAUCAGAGCUUGAAUUAUGAUAAAUUCUUACAUAAAUGUACCACAUACAUAUAUGAAACAUAUACAGCAACAAAAACACAAACUCUAAUUUUGACGAUUUCCAAAUAAUCUAUUGAAUAAUGUAUUGUUUAUGAAAUAAACUAUUUCA